CUCAGAUUGAACGCUGGCGGCAUGCCUUACACAUGCAAGUCGAACGGCAGCGCGGACUUCGGUCUGGCGGCGAGUGGCGAACGGGUGAGUAAUACAUCGGAACGUACCCUGUUGUGGGGGAUAACUAGUCGAAAGAUUAGCUAAUACCGCAUACGACCUGAGGGUGAAAGUGGGGGACCGCAAGGCCUCACGCAGCAGGAGCGGCCGAUGUCUGAUUAGUAGUUGGGGGGUAAAGGCCCCCCAGGCGACGAUCAUAGCUGUUUUGAGAGGACGAUCAGCCCCCUGGGAUUGAGACACGGCCCAGAUUCUACGGGAGGCAGCAGUGGGAAUUUUGGACAAUGGGGGCAACCCUGAUCCAGCAAUGCCGCGUGUGUGAAGAAGGCCUUCGGGUUGUAAAGCACUUUUUUCCGGAAAGAGAUCGCGCUGGUUAAUACCUGGCGUGGAUGACGGUACCGGAAGAAUAAGCACCGGCUAACUACGUGCCAGCAGCCGCGGUAAUACGUAGGGUGCGAGCGUUAAUCGGAAUUACUGGGCGUAAAGCGUGCGCAGGCGGUUUUGUAAGACAGGCGUGAAAUCCCCGGGCUUAACCUGGGAAUUGCGCUUGUGACUGCAAGGCUAGAGUGCGUCAGAGGGGGGUAGAAUUCCCCGUGUAGCAGUGAAAUGCGUAGAGAUGUGGAGGAAUACCGAUGGCGAAGGCAGCCCCCUGGGACGUGACUGACGCUCUGCACGAAAGCGUGGGGAGCAAACAGGAUUAGAUACCCUGGUAGUCCCGCCCUAAACAUGUCAACUAGUUGUUGGGGAUUCAUUUUCUCAGUAACGUAGCUCACGCGUUAAGUUGAGGGCCUGGGGCGUACGGUCGCAAGAUUAAAACUCAAAGGAAUUGACGGGGACCCGCACAAGCGGUGGAUGAUGUGGAUUAAUUCGAUGCAACGCGAAAAACCUUACCUACCCUUGACAUGCCACUAACGAAGCAGAGAUGCAUUAGGUGCCCGAAAGGGAAAGUGGACACAGGUGCUGCAUGG
RNAcentral lists this ribosomal RNA (1022 nucleotides) under Cupriavidus sp. SO7.9. Its description in RNAcentral is "bacterial SSU rRNA". It matches the Rfam family "Bacterial small subunit ribosomal RNA", at positions 23 to 1048 of the family's 1533-position model. Lineage: Bacteria; Pseudomonadati; Pseudomonadota; Betaproteobacteria; Burkholderiales; Burkholderiaceae. The record is from RNAcentral.